GGAUUAGAUACCCUGGUAGUCCUAGCAGUAAACGAUGCCUACUGGAUCGGAGGUCUUCUGACAGAGUUCCGGUCGUAACAAAAGCGUUAAGUAGGCCGCCUGGGGAGUACGGUCGCAAGGCUAAAACUCAAAGGAAUUGACGGGGGCUCACACAAGCGGUGGAGCAUGUUGCUUAAUUCGAUGCAACGCGAAGAACCUUAUCCUGGGCUUGACAUGCUUGUAUACCCUCCUGGAAACAGGUCGGGUUGCCCUUCGGGGUGAAACUUGCACAGGUGCUGCAUGGCUGUCGUCAGCUCGUGCUG
This 302-nucleotide ribosomal RNA is filed under the name uncultured bacterium. RNAcentral's name for it is "bacterial SSU rRNA". It matches the Rfam family "Bacterial small subunit ribosomal RNA", at positions 775 to 1067 of the family's 1533-position model. The record is from RNAcentral.